GACGAACGCUGGCGGCGUGCUUAACACAUGCAAGUCGAACGAUGAAGCAGAGAAACGCGACCUUCGGUUCUAAUUUCACUUCGGAUUAGUGGCAGACGAGUGAGUAACGCGUGAGCAACCUACCUCUUACAAAGGGAUAGCCUCGGGAAACCGUGAUUAAUACCAUAUGACACAUUCAUAAGGCAUCUUAAGAAUGUUAAAGCUACGGCGGUUAGGGAUGGGCUCGUGUCCCAUUAGCUAGCUGGUGAGGUAACGGCGCACCAGAGGGACGAUGGGUAACCGGGAAGAGAGGGUGGGCCCAGACAACUGAGGUAAGAAGCAGUCGGGAAUCCUACGCGAGGGGGGAGAGGGGAAUCUAGCAAAAUGGAGGGAGCGAUGAUGGCGCUACGACGGGAAAGCGAUGUAGUAAGGCAAGAAGUAAAGCUCUGUUAUAUGGGAAGAAAAGGACGGUACCAGAGGAGAAAGCCCCGGCUAAAUACGUG
Molecule: ribosomal RNA, 482 nt
Filed under: uncultured bacterium
Lineage: Bacteria
Description: partial 16S ribosomal RNA
Rfam family: Bacterial small subunit ribosomal RNA
Source: RNAcentral